GUCUCAAAAAACAACAACAACAACAACAAAGGGUGAGGGGGUAGAUGAACCUUGAAAACAUUAUACUAUAUGAACAAAGUCAGACACAAAUGGUCAUUAAAUAUGUUAAAUUUUCAGAACAGGUAAAUUUGUUCUGUUAUUCUCUACUUUCUUUGCGCCAGCAUCUGGCAGACUGGUGGCGGCCAGAUGCUGGCGCAAAAGAAGUAGGGAAUAACUGCUCAGAAAGUGCUAAUGGCACAAAGGUAACUGCUAAUGGAUAUGGAAUUUCUUUCUGGAAUGAUGAACAUGUUCUGGAAUUAAGAUAAUGGUACUGGUUGCACACUAUGUGAUAUACAAAACAAAACAAAACAAAAAAUGGUGAGCAACCGUUCUUUUGGAGCUGCAAUGCCAUACACUAUGGAAUGAACUCUCUCUCCCCAAAAUGCACAUGUUUAAACCCUAACUCCCAAUGUGACUGAAUCUGGAGAACGGAAUUAAGGUCAGAAGUGUGGGCCCCUAAUGUGACAAAACUGUGGCUUGUAAGAAGAGGAAAAGAGAGCUAUCCGCCACCAAUGACAACAACAUCCUUACCCCAGCCUCCACCUUGGCAGGCACCCUGAUCUCAGACUUCCAGCCUCCAGAACUGUGAGAAAAGCAUAUUCUGUUGUUAAAGCACUUUGGGAGUGGUCUACAGUGUUCUGUUAUAACAGCCCAAGCUGACUAACACACCACAGAAAACAGCAAAACCAAAACCACUUGUCACAAAACAGCAAAACCAAAACCACUUGUCACAUUCAAUCUUCGGAAUCACAUGCAGAUACGAGUUUUCUUUUUUAAUUAAACACAAUUUUUGCUACUCCUUUUCUGCUUGUUUGCCUUUCCUAGAGGAGACAGCAACAGGAAAGCUGGAGCAUCAAUAGCCCUGCUGCAUGUGUGCCUUGGUGCUCCCUGGAACUGAGAACACCCACACACUUGAGGUUGUCUCUCACGGACCCUGGGACCCUACCCUUCCAGACUGCCAGCUGCUCUAUUUUGUCUCUUCUGCAGCCACAGACACACCUCAUUGCCCACUGUUUUUACAGUCUGUUGUCAAUUUUCCUUUUAUAUCCAGCCUGCUAUUUCUAUGCUGCCAACCAGGGUAUGCAGGUACAGUUGCACUUGUGCCCUAACCACAAUACAAUGCAGGUACAACAUCUGCCUGUUGAUUCUUUCUAGCACUGCUUGUGCUCAAGUCGCUCUCCUUAUUGACGAGUUUAAUGAGCUCUGAUUCUAGAAAAAGGGAGGCAGAAAAACCCAAACAACCUCCACCCCCCAAAAAAGAAAAUGCUCUCAAGACAAAAGGAGAUACAUGGUGGAGAUGAAAAAGAAACUGUUUCAAGUUACCACAAAUACAGAAUCAAAAGCCCAAAGACCAGGGGACACUGCUCAGCCAGCAAACCCAGAAAGAGUACUCUGACUAACGGAUGCAUAUAAAAGGCCAGUUACUCGGAGUGAGUCAAGAAGCUCAAACAAGAAAAAAAAGAGGAGAAGGGGAAGGCCAGGGAAAGGCAAACCCCGUGGAACCAAGUUUUCUUUGGGUCAAAACAAAUUCCUCCCUGUGCCCACACCCGAGCACCUAGUUUCAGUGACAGGGCAGCAGAGACACCAUAUCACCUUUCUUCCUUGAAAGAAGAAUCUUCAAAUCUAAGAUUUUUUAAGAUUUGAAAAAAAAUCUCAAGUGGUAGAGAAGCAUACAAUGUAUUUUAGAAUGCUUCAAAACACUGAAAACAUUCUGAUGUUCAAAGUACUACCAUUUGUGCUACUCUGGACAAGUCAAAACCUUGCUACAGCUAUUGUCAAAAGCGUGAUCAUAAAAAGUGCUUUGGCGGGGCACGAUGCAGUUUUAAAGGAGCUCCUGCUGGCUGCAGAUAAAAUCAUAUGUAUCAACAAAUAUAAUAAAACCCAAACAUUCCUGAAUCCAUAAGUCACUUAAUUGUUUUUUUUUGGAAGGCAGUGUAUCAACUAUUUUCAAUGUGCUAAGCAAAAGGAAAGAAUCAAACAUGCAUCCUGACUUUCCCUCACAAACUCAACCUGAAGUAUACAAAUAGUUGAUAUGGGAAUAUUUAUCUUUUUUGUAGAAGUGAGGUCUCACUAUGUUCCCCACUCUAGGCUUAAAUUCUUGGCCUCAAGUGAUCCUCCCACCUUGGCCUCCCCAAGUGCUGGGAUGACAGGCAUGAGACACCACACCGGGCAAGAAAGUUUCUCUUUACAAAAUACUCCAGAAAUGAAUAAAUAAGAAACAGUAAUAUUACACUAUCACCUUUUGAAAAAACUAA
Long non-coding RNA from Cercocebus atys (sooty mangabey), 2294 nucleotides. RefSeq lists it as uncharacterized. The transcript has 2 exons. Lineage: Eukaryota; Metazoa; Chordata; Mammalia; Primates; Cercopithecidae. The record is from RefSeq and is a predicted model, not a curated record.